This is a long non-coding RNA of Anthonomus grandis grandis, 1168 nucleotides long. RefSeq lists it as uncharacterized. The transcript has 3 exons. Lineage: Eukaryota; Metazoa; Arthropoda; Insecta; Coleoptera; Curculionidae. The record is from RefSeq and is a predicted model, not a curated record.
UUGCCGGAAUUUUUGGGUUUUCCAGGGAGUAGGGCUUUGAAACUUUGUAGAUCAUUAGAAUUAAUGUUUUUCUACCAGGUGCUUUUUAAAUGAACAUUCUAAGUUGAAUAGAACAGAAAUUGGGUCCCGAAACACAAGUUUUUUUGAGUGAAAAAAACCAAAAUUGCCGGAAUUUUUGGGUUUUUUAGGGAGUAGGGCUUUGAAACUUUGUAGAUCAUUAGAAUUAAUGUUUUUCUACCAGGUGCUUUUUAAAUGAACAUUCUAAGUUGAAUAGAACAGAAAUUGGGUCCCGAAACACAAGUUUUUUGAGUGAAAAAAACCAAAAUUGCCGGAAUUUUUGGGUUUUUUAGGGAGUAGGGCUUUGAAACUUUGUAGAUCAUUAGAAUUAAUGUUUUUCUACCAGGUGCUUUUUAAAUGAACAUUCUAAGUUGAAUAGAACAGGAAUUGGGUCCCGAAACACAAGUUUUUUUGAGUGAAAAAAACCAAAAUUGCCGGAAUUUUUGGGUUUUUCAGGGAGUAGGGCUUUGAAACUUUGUAGAUCAUUAGAAUUAAUGUUUUUCUACCAGGUGCUUUUUAAAUGAACAUUCUAAGUUGAAUAGAACAGAAAUUGGGUCCCGAAACACAAGUUUUUUUGAGUGAAAAAAACCAAAAUUGCCGGAAUUUUUGGGUUUUUUAGGGAGUAGGGCUUUGAAACUUUGUAGAUCAUUAGAAUUAAUGUUUUUCUACCAGGUGCUUUUUAAAUGAACAUUCUAAGUUGAAUAGAACAGGAAUUGGGUCCCGAAACACAAGUUUUUUUGAGUGAAAAAAACCAAAAUUGCCGGAAUUUUUGGGUUUUUCAGGGAGUAGGGCUUUGAAACUUUGUAGAUCAUUAGAAUUAAUGUUUUUCUACCAGGUGCUUUUUAAAUGAACAUUCUAAGUUGAAUAGAACAGGAAUUGGGUCCCGAAACACAAGUUUUUUUGAGUGAAAAAAACCAAAAUUGCCGGAAUUUUUGGGUUUUUCAGGGAGUAGGGCUUUGAAACUUUGUAGAUCAUUAGAAUUAAUGUUUUUCUACCAGGUGCUUUUUAAAUGAACAUUCUAAGUUGAAUAGAACAGAAAUUGGGUCCCAAAACACAAGUUUUUUCAAGUGAAAAAAAACCAAAAUUGCCAAAAUUUUUGGGUUUUUUAGGG